GGAAAGAGUGCUUCACCGAUCCAAUUGCAGUCGAAUGUUGGGCUCUGAUUUUCAUCAUGGUGAAUAUUAUUUCUCUCUCCUUCCUGGUACACCAAUUUGUUGCAGCCAACUCUCCAUCGUCUGUCGUCGGGAACGAAUACUUGCAAGACAAUGUCCGCACUUACCAGAUUUGUGUUCGACGGAGACCCUCCAAUUUUAAGUUAGAGAGAAAAGUUAGUGAACAGUAGA
RNAcentral lists this long non-coding RNA (228 nucleotides) under Elaeis guineensis (African oil palm). RNAcentral's name for it is "long non-coding RNA (EGUI_LNC030158)". Lineage: Eukaryota; Viridiplantae; Streptophyta; Magnoliopsida; Arecales; Arecaceae. The record is from RNAcentral.